This 253-nucleotide ribosomal RNA is filed under the name uncultured bacterium. Its description in RNAcentral is "partial 16S ribosomal RNA". It matches the Rfam family "Bacterial small subunit ribosomal RNA", at positions 524 to 776 of the family's 1533-position model. The record is from RNAcentral.
UACGGGGGGAGCAAGCGUUGUUCGGAUUUACUGGGCGUAAAGGGCGCGUAGGCGGCGCAACAAGUCACUUGUGAAAUCUCCGGGCUUAACUCGGAGCGGCCAAGUGAUACUGUCGUGCUAGAGUGCGGAAGGGGCUACUGGAAUUCUCGGUGUAGCGGUGAAAUGCGUAGAUAUCGAGAGGAACACCUGCGGCGAAGGCGGGUAGCUGGGCCGACACUGACGCUGAGGCGCGAAAGCGUGGGGAGCAAACGGG